RNAcentral lists this ribosomal RNA (512 nucleotides) under Methylosinus sp. RNAcentral describes it as "bacterial SSU rRNA". It matches the Rfam family "Bacterial small subunit ribosomal RNA", at positions 109 to 655 of the family's 1533-position model. Lineage: Bacteria; Pseudomonadati; Pseudomonadota; Alphaproteobacteria; Hyphomicrobiales; Methylocystaceae. The record is from RNAcentral.
AGGAACGCGCUGGGAACGUGCCUUUCGGUUCGGAAUAACUCAGGGAAACUUGAGCUAAUACCGGAUACGCCCUUCGGGGGAAAGAUUUAUUGCCGAAAGAUCGGCCCGCGUCCGAUUAGCUAGUUGGUGAGGUAAAGGCUCACCAAGGCGACGAUCGGUAGCUGGUCUGAGAGGAUGAUCAGCCACACUGGGACUGAGACACGGUCCAGACUCCUACGGGAGGCAGCAGUGGGGAAUAUUGGACAAUGGGCGCAAGCCUGAUCCAGCCAUACCGCGUGGGUGAAGAAGGCCUUCGGGUUGUAAAGCUCUUUCGCCAGGGAAGAAAAUGACGGUACCUGGAUAAGAAGCCCCGGCUAACUUCGUGCCAGCAGCCGCGGUAAUACGAAGGGUGCUAGCGUUGUUCGGAAUUACUGGGCGUAAAGCGCACGUAGGCGGAUCUUUAAGUCAGGGGUGAAAUCCCGAGGCUCAACCUGGGAACUGCAGUGGAUACUGGAGAUCUAGAGUCCGGUAGA